GAAGAAUGGUGGCUGCAGGUCAGGCAACAGAUACCCAAGGCGAUGAGGCGCAACUUCGACACCAUUACCAUCCUGGUGCAUUGGCGAAUCUGGAAGGAAAGGAAUACCAGGGUCUUCGAGCAGUACGCCAGCAGUGCAGAUAAGGUCUUCGAUACAAUCACGGAGGAGUUGGCUACAUGGAGAACGGCUGGCUGCAUCUAUGACACAGCCACUGGCGGGCAGAUUGGGGUUUUGCAUUUGGUUGCAAGCCCGCAUUAG
This 258-nucleotide ribosomal RNA is filed under the name Triticum aestivum (bread wheat). RNAcentral's name for it is "partial small subunit ribosomal RNA". The record is from RNAcentral. Lineage: Eukaryota; Viridiplantae; Streptophyta; Magnoliopsida; Poales; Poaceae.